GUCCCACCCAGUUCUCUUUCUCAGAGGUGCCUCCAAAUAAUAUCGUUCCCCAGAGCCUGUUCCCAACAAUCAGAAAGGCAGACAACAAUCAGAAGGGCAA
Molecule: long non-coding RNA, 100 nt
Organism: Phyllostomus discolor (pale spear-nosed bat)
Lineage: Eukaryota; Metazoa; Chordata; Mammalia; Chiroptera; Phyllostomidae
Exons: 3
Source: RefSeq, a predicted model, not a curated record